This is a long non-coding RNA of Zophobas morio, 582 nucleotides long. RefSeq lists it as uncharacterized. The transcript has 2 exons. NCBI's taxonomy places the organism in Eukaryota, Metazoa, Arthropoda, Insecta, Coleoptera, Tenebrionidae. The record is from RefSeq and is a predicted model, not a curated record.
CACAAGUGGCAAGUGACAGACAGAGAUGCAUCCGGCGCUAGGUUCAAAUUUCGUCGACGAUUUAAAUAAUUUAAAUUUAAAAACGGUUUCGCACUAUUAAUUAUUAGCGGCGGAUUUCUGAUAAUUACAAAAUCAAUAACGAUUGUAAAUAUAGAUAUUGAUUUCGAGUGAUCUGUCGUCCUUUAUCGCGCAUAAUAUUUUAUUUAAGUACCCUUGAAGUGAAUCAGGGACAGUUUAAACAGAGAAAUGAGGCCGGCCAGAUAUUUGGGUUAAAUGUCUUGGAACGGUGGAAACAGAGAUGUUUUUACUCCGUACUCUCGCAUUCCACCAAUUGGCAGCAAAAAUACGGGUUUCCAAAAUUUCAAAACUGACAGCCGGGCUGUGGACAUAGGGAAAAAACAUGCGACCUACCCGCAGCGAAAAAGAAAACUACCUCCAAAAGAAACUUCCAAGUCACUAGAGACCGAGAAAUUGCUAAUCAGGAGAAAAACGUACAUCGUUUUGGAACCCCUAGUUUUGAAAAAACCCAAAUGUGGAAAGAAAUCACUGUAAACUACCUAAGAAUAAACUAUUUAUUCACAA